Molecule: ribosomal RNA, 397 nt
Filed under: uncultured bacterium
Lineage: Bacteria
Description: bacterial SSU rRNA
Rfam family: Bacterial small subunit ribosomal RNA
Source: RNAcentral
UAUUGCACAAUGGGGGAAACCCUGAUGCAGCGUCGCCGCGUGAGUGAAGAAGUGCUUCGGUAUGUAAAGCUCUAUCAGCAGGGAAGAAAAUGACGGUACCUGAUUAAGAAGCCCCGUCUAACUACGUGCCAGCAGCCGCGGUAAUACGUAGGGGGCAAGCGUUAUCCGGAUUUACUGGGUGUAAAGGGAGCGUAGACGGCAGCACAAGUCUGGAGUGAAAUGCCGGGGCUUAACCCCGGAACUGCUUUGGAAACUGUGCAGCUAGAAUGAAGGAGAAGUAAGUGGAAUUCCUAGUGUAGCGGUGAAAUGCGUAGAUAUUAGGAGGAACACCAGUGGCGAAGGCGGCUUACUGGACUGUAACUGACGUUGAGGCUCGAAAGCGUGGGGAGCAAACAGG